Molecule: long non-coding RNA, 224 nt
Filed under: Elaeis guineensis (African oil palm)
Lineage: Eukaryota; Viridiplantae; Streptophyta; Magnoliopsida; Arecales; Arecaceae
Description: long non-coding RNA (EGUI_LNC036740)
Source: RNAcentral
GGACACAAAGCCCUUUCCAAUAUAUACAUCUCCCUUAGAAAUUACAACUUUAUUGGAUUCUAAAAUAAUCUUAAAACCUAAUUAGACUAGAAAAGAACCACUAAACAAAUUUCUUCUUAUGGCUGGUACAAGCUGCACAUUUCAAAGAAUUUAAGUUUUUCCUGAAGUAAAUUUCAGGUUAACUGUUCCACUUUCAAGAACUUUGAUAGCUGUUCCAUCACCCA